GAAAAUGUAUUAGAUAUCUCCAGCACCAGUAAAUUUUCUUGUUUAUCGCAUAAAUUGUCAUAAUUAAGAUUGAUUCCUAAAGUUUCUUGCCCAUAAGGAGGUGGAGAUUCAUAAUGAUAUAAAACGCCACUACGGAUAUACAAUCAGAAAACAAAGCCAUCAUCACCUAAGCUCAGUUAUUCACCUAGAUUUUGAAAACUAAUCAUCCUUCCAAUAAAUGCACAAACACACUCAGACCAUAUUGCAGGAUAAAAGUAAUGGCCACAUUAAUAGACACCUGCCAAUAUCGUAUCGCAGGAUAAAACAGCCAAUAUCGUAUCGCAGGAUAAAACAGCCAAUAUAUAUUCAUCUUCACUCCUUAGUAAUAUGUUAUCAUUUCUUUCUUCUGGGUCUUCCAUAUUUAUGACCUAUUUGUUUUUUAAGUGAGCUUGCUUGUGAGAGUUU
RNAcentral lists this unclassified non-coding RNA (444 nucleotides) under Hevea brasiliensis (rubber tree). The record is from RNAcentral. Lineage: Eukaryota; Viridiplantae; Streptophyta; Magnoliopsida; Malpighiales; Euphorbiaceae.